GAGCAGGAUGAAGCGAAAGUAAAAUUUCGUGGAGGUCCGAACCCACGAGCGUUGAAAAGCUCGGGGAUGACUUGUGGGUAGCGGUGAAAUUCCAAUCGAGCCCGGAGAUAGCUGGUUCUCCCCGAAAUAGCUUUAGGGCUAGCCUCAAGGUGAGAGAUACGGAGGUAGAGCACUGAAUGUCCUAGGGGGUAUUGCACCUACCGAAGACUAUCAAACUCCGAAUGCCGUCAUCUUAUACUUGGGAGUCAGACUGUGGGUGAUAAGAUUCAUAGUCGAAAGGGCAACAGCCCAGAUCGUCAGCUAAGGUCCCUAAAUGUAAGUUAAGUGGUAAAGGAUGUGGGAUUGCACAGACAACCAGGAUGUUGGCUUAGAAGCAGCCACUCAUUCAAAGAGUGCGUAAUAGCUCACUGGUCGAGUGAUCCUGCGCCGAAGAUUUCCGGGGCUAAAACUUACUACCGAAGCUACGGCAUCAGUAAUGAUGGGUAGGGGAGCUUCCCAUACGGGUUGAAGCAUGACCGUAAGGACAUGUGGACAGUAUGGGAGUGAGAAUGUUGGCAUGAGUAGCGAGAUGUGGGUGAGAAUCCCACAGGCCGUAAACCCAAGGUUUCCAGGGGAAGGUUCGUCCGCCCUGGGUUAGUCGGGACCUAAGCUGAGGCCGAAAGGC
This 664-nucleotide ribosomal RNA is filed under the name Clostridioides difficile. RNAcentral describes it as "partial 23S ribosomal RNA". It matches the Rfam family "Bacterial large subunit ribosomal RNA", at positions 738 to 1410 of the family's 2925-position model. Lineage: Bacteria; Bacillati; Bacillota; Clostridia; Peptostreptococcales; Peptostreptococcaceae. The record is from RNAcentral.